RNAcentral lists this ribosomal RNA (730 nucleotides) under uncultured bacterium. RNAcentral describes it as "bacterial SSU rRNA". It matches the Rfam family "Bacterial small subunit ribosomal RNA", at positions 771 to 1501 of the family's 1533-position model. The record is from RNAcentral.
AACAGGAUUAGAUACCCUGGUAGUCCACGCCGUAAACGAUGUCGACUUGGAGGUUGUUCCCUUGAGGAGUGGCUUCCGGAGCUAACGCGUUAAGUCGACCGCCUGGGGAGUACGGCCGCAAGGUUAAAACUCAAAUGAAUUGACGGGGGCCCGCACAAGCGGUGGAGCAUGUGGUUUAAUUCGAUGCAACGCGAAGAACCUUACCUACUCUUGACAUCCAGAGAACUUAGCAGAGAUGCUUUGGUGCCUUCGGGAACUCUGAGACAGGUGCUGCAUGGCUGUCGUCAGCUCGUGUUGUGAAAUGUUGGGUUAAGUCCCGCAACGAGCGCAACCCUUAUCCUUUGUUGCCAGCGGUUCGGCCGGGAACUCAAAGGAGACUGCCAGUGAUAAACUGGAGGAAGGUGGGGAUGACGUCAGGUCAUCAUGGCCCUUACGAGUAGGGCUACACACGUGCUACAAUGGCGCAUACAAAGAGAAGCGACCUCGCGAGAGCAAGCGGACCUCAUAAAGUGCGUCGUAGUCCGGAUCGGAGUCUGCAACUCGACUCCGUGAAGUCGGAAUCGCUAGUAAUCGUAGAUCAGAAUGCUACGGUGAAUACGUUCCCGGGCCUUGUACACACCGCCCGUCACACCAUGGGAGUGGGUUGCAAAAGAAGUAGAUAGCUUAACCUUCGGGAGGGCGUUUACCACUUUGUGAUUCAUGACUGGGGUGAAGUCGUAACAAGGUAACC